RNAcentral lists this ribosomal RNA (460 nucleotides) under uncultured bacterium. RNAcentral's name for it is "partial 16S ribosomal RNA". It matches the Rfam family "Bacterial small subunit ribosomal RNA", at positions 338 to 795 of the family's 1533-position model. The record is from RNAcentral.
CCUACGGGUGGCAGCAGUGAGGAAUAUUGGUCAAUGGGCGCGAGCCUGAACCAGCCAAGUAGCGUGAAGGAUGACUGCCCUACGGGUUGUAAACUUCUUUUAUCAAGGAAUAAAGUGCGGCACGUGUGCCUUUUUGUAUGUACUUUAUGAAUAAGGAUCGGCUAACUCCGUGCCAGCAGCCGCGGUAAUACGGAGGAUCCGAGCGUUAUCCGGAUUUAUUGGGUUUAAAGGGAGCGGAGAUGGGUUGUUAAGUCAGUUGGGAAAGUUUGCGGCUCAACCGUAUAAUUGCAAUUGAUACUGGCAGUCUUGAGGACAGGUGAGGUAGGCGGAAUUCGUGGUGUAGCGGUGAAAUGCUUAGAUAUCACGAAGAACUCCGAUUGCGAAGGCAGCGUACUAAGCUGCCACUGACAUUGAUGCUCGAAAGUGUGGGUAUCAAACAGGAUUAGAUACCCUUGUAGUC